Long non-coding RNA from Monodelphis domestica (gray short-tailed opossum), 611 nucleotides. Ensembl lists it as uncharacterized. NCBI's taxonomy places the organism in Eukaryota, Metazoa, Chordata, Mammalia, Didelphimorphia, Didelphidae. The record is from Ensembl.
GCUGACUUGGCCUCCACCACAUUCCCUUUGCUAACCUAGCCCGGUUCGGCCUGGCGGAGAGAAAGGCCCGAAACCCCUCCAGGAUCCAAGAAGCAGCAGCAGCAUUUAGAAAGACCAGACGAUGCCGGGCAUCCCUCCGUCUGCUCUCCUGAAGCCGGGCGGCUCGGGGAGGCCACUUUCAAAGCACAGGGGGACAAAAGGGCCUCCUCCUCAUGCCCAGGUUGCUAGGCCAUCAGCUUGAAGUCUGACUGUCACCUGGGGCACAUACCAGUUCUUUAGGAGGUCAAGACAACAGCCUGAGAAGUGAGGAGACUCCAUCAAAGCAGUUCAGCACCUUUCCUGCAAUUUAUAGUCUGAGAGUGACAAGGAUCAGGAUCUGAACCCAGUGCAUCGUGACUCAGAGCUGAAUUCUCUGUCCACUUCCCCAUGAGUAUCGUCAUCACAUCAUCAUUCUGUAGGGGUUAUCGGAAUGGUUCUACAAAUGUUAAGCACUCCUUUCAUUGCUGUUAUUAUUGUUACUAAUUAUUCACUUCUGCUUCCCACCUAAGGCUAUCCCAAGAUGGGAGUCAUUAAACUCUUUGAGAUCCUUGAAAAGAGCCCCAAGUUCUAGG